This 1501-nucleotide long non-coding RNA is filed under the name Homo sapiens (human). RNAcentral describes it as "HSALNT0384703". The record is from RNAcentral. Lineage: Eukaryota; Metazoa; Chordata; Mammalia; Primates; Hominidae.
CUGUCAGAAGCAGCAUGUAGCAGGCUGCUGGGUAAAACUAACCUUUUCCAAAUUUGUCAGGGAAAUGAUUCAAGGCAAUCUAUCGGUCUUGCCACUUUGUGAAAGCCACUGGGGAACCAAAUGUGCUAAGAGUCCUCCCUGUUUCCCUGGAGGUGAGUGGGAGCAGUUCCCUCACAUAAGAGUCUCAAACACUCCGGCUUCACUGUGCCCAAGAACAGCACGGUCCGGGGUGGUCCAGUCUGAUCCCAACCGGCCCACCCGGGGCAUCCGGUGGAAGUCUUCGCCGGAGGAUCCGAAGGCAGCAUCAACGCGGUUGUCUCUUGACACUGCACACAGCAUAGCAUUUAAUCUUCGGAUGUUCUAGUCACCACACAAAUAAAGAGACUGAGCAUCGGAGAAACUAAACAGCUUGCCUGAGGUCUUGUAGUAAGCUCUCGAAGAACAGCCAAAGUGUGAAGGCAAACCAGUAUGCCAUCAUACCCUUGGUCCAUCACGGCGGUUUAGAUCAUCAAGAUUCAUUACCAGGAGGAGUAGCAGCUGCUCCUUGGCCUCUGAUGCAAUUUGAAAACAAGUUUCUGUGAAGUUCCCCACAUCGCUCCACUUCACAAGCGGAAAGGAUGAAAGGCAUUCCUACUAUUAAUAGCUGGACUGCAUAAUGUAAAGUUUCAUUUCUAAAUUUUUUUUUUUUUUUUUGGAGACAGAAUUUCACUCUUGUUGCCCAGGCUGGAGUGCAAUGGCGCCAUCUCGGCUCACCACAACCUCCACCUCCCGGGUCCAAGCGAUUCUCCUGCCUCAGCCUCCCAAGUAGCUGGAAUUACAGGCAUGUGCCACCAUGCCCGGCUAAUUUUGUAUUUUUAGUAGAGACAGGGUUUCUCCAUGUUGGUCAGGCUGGUCUCGAACUCCCGACCUCAGGUGAUCCGCUCGCCUCGGCCUCCCAAAGUGCUGGGAUUCCAGGCGUGAGCCAUCGCACCCUGGCUAAAUAACUAUUUUAAGUCAUGUUUACUUUUUAUAAUCUUAUCACCUGAAAGUACUCACUAACCUAGAUGUUAGUGAGUACUAGAUGAGAUGUGGGUAAACCCCUGGUCUGAGGUGCUCAGGUCACCACUGCCAUCAAUUUUAAGUUACCUAACACUCCAGUGGUCUAGCAUUUGCUAGUGUUUUUGCUAAACAAAAUGAAGUAACAUUCACUCUGGUAUUAAAGUGAUGUUUGGGCUUCUUUCCAGGAUAUAUAAAUUACAUCUUUUCUAAGAAAAGACAAGUUGUACAAAUACUCAACAGUGGAAAUAUUAUCAAUAAACAUCACAAAUCAAAAAUGUUUAAUAGAUUCUUUUUCAGAAUAGCAGAUUUAAACCAAAAAGUUGAUGGAAAAUUCAGAGAAACUAAUGCUAUACAUUUCAUGAUUAGAAAAAACAAUGCCAUAAAAUAAUUACAGUCAGCAACAAAAACAGGGCUACAGUUAGUUCCCCCUUAUCUAUGAUUUUGCUUUCCAAAGUUUGUUUCC